Molecule: ribosomal RNA, 253 nt
Filed under: uncultured bacterium
Lineage: Bacteria
Description: partial 16S ribosomal RNA
Rfam family: Bacterial small subunit ribosomal RNA
Source: RNAcentral
UACAGAGGUCCCAAGCGUUGUUCGGAUUCAUUGGGCGUAAAGGGUGCGUAGGCGGCGCGGUAAGUCGGGUGUGAAAUCUCGGAGCUUAACUCCGAAACUGCAUUCGAUACUGCCGUGCUUGAGGACUGGAGAGGAGACUGGAAUUUACGGUGUAGCGGUGAAACGCGUAGAUAUCGUAAGGAAGACCAGUGGCGAAGGCGGGUCUCUGGACAGUUCCUGACGCUGAGGCACGAAGGCCAGGGGAGCAAACGGG